RNAcentral lists this ribosomal RNA (579 nucleotides) under uncultured fungus. RNAcentral's name for it is "eukaryotic LSU rRNA". The stretch from base 212 to 365 matches the Rfam family "5.8S ribosomal RNA". Lineage: Eukaryota; Fungi. The record is from RNAcentral.
UCUUGGUCAUUUAGAGGAAGUAAAAGUCGUAACAAGGUCUCCGUUGGUGAACCAGCGGAGGGAUCAUUAUCGAGUUAUUCAACUCCCAAACCCUAUGUGAACUUACCACUUGUUGCUUCGGCGCGCGCUUCGGCGCCGCCGAGGACACUUAAACUCUUUGUUUUUAUAAGCAUUUCUGAGUGGCCGAAAGGCAAAAAUACAAAUGAAUCAAAACUUUCAACAACGGAUCUCUUGGUUCUGGCAUCGAUGAAGAACGCAGCGAAAUGCGAUAAGUAAUGUGAAUUGCAGAAUUCAGUGAAUCAUCGAAUCUUUGAACGCACAUUGCGCCCGCCAGCAUUCUGGCGGGCAUGCCUGUUCGAGCGUCAUUUCAACCCUCGAGCCCGACUCUUUUGAGGACGGCUCGGCGUUGGGGGACGGCAGACUCCCCCCGGCAUCUCGCCGGGGACGCCGCCCCCGAAAUCUAGUGGCGGCCCUCCGAGGCGACCUCUGCGUAGUAACUUGUUCUCGCACCGGAAAGCUCAGAGCGGCCACGCCGUAAAACCCCAACUUUUUUCAGGUUGACCUCGAAUCAGGUAGGAC